Molecule: small nuclear RNA, 18 nt
Filed under: Arabidopsis thaliana (thale cress)
Lineage: Eukaryota; Viridiplantae; Streptophyta; Magnoliopsida; Brassicales; Brassicaceae
Description: snRNA_05499
Source: RNAcentral
GUGGUCUGCAGCACGCGC